AGAGUUUGAUCCUGGCUCAGAUUGAACGCUGGCGGCAGGCCUAACACAUGCAAGUCGAACGGUAGCACAGAGGAGCUUGCUCCUUGGGUGACGAGUGGCGGACGGGUGAGUAAUGUCUGGGAAACUGCCCGAUGGAGGGGGAUAACUACUGGAAACGGUAGCUAAUACCGCAUAACGUCGCAAGACCAAAGAGGGGGACCUUCGGGCCUCUUGCCAUCGGAUGUGCCCAGAUGGGAUUAGCUAGUAGGUGGGGUAACGGCUCACCUAGGCGACGAUCCCUAGCUGGUCUGAGAGGAUGACCAGCCACACUGGAACUGAGACACGGUCCAGACUCCUACGGGAGGCAGCAGUGGGGAAUAUUGCACAAUGGGCGCAAGCCUGAUGCAGCCAUGCCGCGUGUAUGAAGAAGGCCUUCGGGUUGUAAAGCACUUUCAGCGAGGAGGAAGGUAUCAUACUUAAUACGUGUGGUGAUUGACGUUACUCGCAGAAGAAGCACCGGCUAACUCCGUGCCAGCAGCCGCGGUAAUACGGAGGGUGCAAGCGUUAAUCGG
This 551-nucleotide ribosomal RNA is filed under the name uncultured bacterium. RNAcentral describes it as "bacterial SSU rRNA". It matches the Rfam family "Bacterial small subunit ribosomal RNA", at positions 8 to 548 of the family's 1533-position model. The record is from RNAcentral.